CACACGACUCUCGGCAACGGAUAUCUCGGCUCUCGCAUCGAUGAAGAACGUAGCAAAAUGCGAUACCUGGUGUGAAUUGCAGAAUCCCGUGAACCAUCGAGUUUUUGAACGCAAGUUGCGCCCGAGGCCUUCUGGUCGAGGGCACGCCUGCCUGGGCGUCACGC
Molecule: ribosomal RNA, 164 nt
Filed under: Urochloa lachnantha
Lineage: Eukaryota; Viridiplantae; Streptophyta; Magnoliopsida; Poales; Poaceae
Also listed under: 2 other names
Description: 5.8S ribosomal RNA
Rfam family: 5.8S ribosomal RNA
About the family: 5.8S ribosomal RNA (5.8S rRNA) is a component of the large subunit of the eukaryotic ribosome. It is transcribed by RNA polymerase I as part of the 45S precursor that also contains 18S and 28S rRNA.
Source: RNAcentral